GGAGACCGAGGGAAGGAGCAUGCACUGGGUUUGGCCACGACCAGGGGUGGUUGCGAGUUCAGGCUUGCGUACAGGGGUCGUUGUCACAUGUGCGGGUGCCUUUCUUACAUGAGGUUGUUGUGCUGCAAGCACCAGUGCUGGAUUCGCAGGGGUCUGGGACACCAGAUGCGUGUGGCGUUCCGCCAUUGAGUGGAGGUAAUUAUUUUGGGCAGUUUUCACGUCGGG
RNAcentral lists this long non-coding RNA (225 nucleotides) under Carica papaya (papaya). RNAcentral's name for it is "long non-coding RNA (CPAP_LNC014419)". Lineage: Eukaryota; Viridiplantae; Streptophyta; Magnoliopsida; Brassicales; Caricaceae. The record is from RNAcentral.